Molecule: ribosomal RNA, 815 nt
Filed under: uncultured bacterium
Lineage: Bacteria
Description: bacterial SSU rRNA
Rfam family: Bacterial small subunit ribosomal RNA
Source: RNAcentral
AGAGUUUGAUCAUGGCUCAGAACGAACGCUGGCGGCGUGGAUAAGACAUGCAAGUCGAACGCUGAUUUCAGGGUAGCAAUAUUCUGGAGUCGGAGUGGCGCAAGGGUGCGUAACACGUGGGUAAUUUGCCGCGAAGUCUGGGAUAACUUGCUGAAAGGCGAGCUAAUACCGGAUGUGAUUUUCGGGAGGCAUCUCCUGAAUCUUAAAGUUGGGGACCGUAAGGCCUGACACUUCACGAUAAGCCCGCGGCCUAUCAGCUAGUUGGUGAGGUAACGGCUCACCAAGGCUAAGACGGGUAGCUGGUCUGAGAGGACGACCAGCCACACUGGAACUGAGACACGGUCCAGACACCUACGGGUGGCAGCAGUCGAGAAUUUUUCACAAUGGGCGAAAGCCUGAUGGAGCGACGCCGCGUGGGGGAUGAAUGGCUUCGGCCCGUAAACCCCUGUCAUCUGGGAACAAUUCUCAUCCAUUAACACCGGAUGAGUUGAUAGUACCGGAAGAGGAAGGGACGGCUAACUCUGUGCCAGCAGCCGCGGUAAUACAGAGGUCCCAAGCGUUGUUCGGAUUCACUGGGCGUAAAGGGUGCGUAGGUGGUGGGGUAAGUCUGAUGUGAAAUCCCGCAGCUCAACUGCGGAACUGCAUCGGAUACUAUCUCGCUAGAGGGUUUGAGGGGGGACUGGAAUUCUCGGUGUAGCAGUGAAAUGCGUAGAUAUCGAGAGGAACACCAGUGGCGAAGGCGAGUCCCUGGAAAACUCCUGACACUGAGGCACGAAAGCUAGGGGAGCAAACAGGAUUAGAUACCCUAGUAGUCC